Molecule: non-coding RNA, 163 nt
Filed under: Streptomyces lydicus
Lineage: Bacteria; Bacillati; Actinomycetota; Actinomycetes; Kitasatosporales; Streptomycetaceae
Source: RNAcentral
CUUGUAUGGGUCGGUGCCGGUACCGUCUGGUGCGAUAGGACGACGGCGCGAACGGAAGUCCGGUGCAAGCCCGGCACGGUCGCGCCACUGUGUGCUGUACGACCCCCGCACCGCGGGAAGUUGUGCAGUGAGUCAGACCCGGCGCCGUCGUCGCGUGCUCCAA